UACAGAGGUGGCGAGCGUUAUUCGGAAUUAUUGGGCGUAAAGGGCGCGUAGGCGGCCAAGCAAGUCCUGGGUGAAAUCCCUCGGCUCAACCGAGGAACUGCCUCGGAAACUGCAUGGCUCGAGGCCGGGAGAGGGUAGCGGAAUUCCCAGUGUAGCGGUGAAAUGCGUAGAUAUUCGGUGGAACACCAGUGGCGAAGGCGACUCGCUGGACUGAUACUGACGCUGAGGUGCGAAAGCGUGGGGAGCAAACAGG
RNAcentral lists this ribosomal RNA (253 nucleotides) under uncultured bacterium. RNAcentral describes it as "partial 16S ribosomal RNA". It matches the Rfam family "Bacterial small subunit ribosomal RNA", at positions 524 to 776 of the family's 1533-position model. The record is from RNAcentral.